Long non-coding RNA from Polypterus senegalus (gray bichir), 747 nucleotides. RefSeq lists it as uncharacterized. The record is from RefSeq and is a predicted model, not a curated record. The transcript has 3 exons. NCBI's taxonomy places the organism in Eukaryota, Metazoa, Chordata, Cladistia, Polypteriformes, Polypteridae.
CGUGACGCGGAGUUUCCACUGCACUGUAUAAACACAACCCUGUGUACACAGAAUUUAAAUUAUUCCUGCAAGUAUUGCUUUUACAGAAUACUCAUUCAGGCACUAAAACACCUUAUAGCUACAUGAGGAUUCUGAUGCAGUCACAGCUGCAGAACAUCUACUGGACAGUAUUACUAUUCUGGAGAAGUCUUCCCUCCCAAAAAACAAACAGAUCACAGCUCUCUUCAAUUUUCAGAAGUGCGACUCUUCAUGCAUGCACCCUACCGAGAAACACCUACAAGAUGGGCUCUGGACUUUAAGAUAAUGCUGAGGAAAUCUACACCACCAGAACUCUGCAUCACUUGCGUCCAUUGCCUACAAGCGAUAAAAGUGAUGAGACCCUUCAGAACAGGCACCUCUGAAAAUGUUCGAUUAUACGGAGCGCAAGGUUUCGCUACAGGCUGUCAUUCUGUGCCAAAACACACUGUCAUCGUGAAACAACAUAGAGCAGAACCUGGUGUGAAACACUCCAUCCAGCCAAGGACAUCAAUGCAAAUCUAAGGCAAUUCUAUUGACUCCAUAUUACACCUCCGACAAAAAUCACAAUUCUUUUGUUAUCCCUUGACUCUGUAUCGAGCAGUACUGCCACUAAACAACAUGCACUUGAUAUUUUUCUUUGAAUGCUUUCAUUUAAAGACUUUAAAAUAAAAAUAAUGUAGAAAAUGUGUGUAUGGAGUAAUGCUGUUUCAACACGAAAAGGAUUCUGCA